Molecule: long non-coding RNA, 918 nt
Organism: Schistocerca cancellata (South American locust)
Lineage: Eukaryota; Metazoa; Arthropoda; Insecta; Orthoptera; Acrididae
Exons: 3
Source: RefSeq, a predicted model, not a curated record
GAACCCAGCAGAACGUCGGCAGGCGUAAACCCUAUGCUUCUGCGAACUGCCACGUAUAGUGGACGAUCGCGCUCAUAUAUGCGGUGAAGACUAGCGUGGUGGGGGCCAAGUGCACGGGGUCUCCACGUGAACAGCUGCAGCCGUUGCCAGCUUCUCCAGCCGGUUUCUGAGUGGGUGGGGGAGGACUUAGCAACGCAAAGGUCACGCACUUCCCCGAUGGUUUGCGGGCGUGGAGCUGGUGCCUGAUAGCAUCCAAGACGUGUUCUACUGGGUUCAGAUCGGGCGAAUCUGGUGGCCCAGACAUCAACGUGAGUUCACUGCCAUGCUUCUAAAAUCAGCGUAGCUGAAUUCAAGCACGAACAGUUACCCUGCUGGAAGAUGCCACCGCCAUCGGAAAAGACAACGAGCGUGCAGUGACGCAGGUUAUCUGCAAUAAUGCAACAUCGUCCACAGCUGCGUCGUGCUUAGAGUACUACCAUUGGUGCGAGGUAAGCCCAGUCAAAUUCCAGACAGAUACAUGAAAAGGGACUGAAAUCAGACUUCAAUGUUCUGGCAUAAUGACAAGUGCUGGCACAAAGAUCAAGAACCUAACACAAGAGAAGGCUGUGACAUGACAUCAAUUAAUAGUAUGCUGACAAGGGCCGCACCACGACAGGAGCAGCCUGAAUCCGAAGAGAAUAUAAGCACUGCUCCUGCCAGCCUCGGCCAGACAGUGGAAGAAUGGAUAGCAGGUCUGGACUGGAAGACGCGCACUAGAAGAGACGUGAUUUGUGAUCCAUAUGACCUUUUGUGAUUAAAGUGCAUGAAAUUUUGUAUAUAGCAAGGGACAUUAAUUAUUUGUAUGUUACCAAUUGCUUGCUGCCCAAAAAGUUAGGUAUUGUCAAUCUACCUUACUGUAAUAAAAAAACAUUAAUAUGA